UGUGUGUCAACGCCGAGCCCUGCCAGGCACACAUGUUCCCCUCGAACACCAUGGCAGGGGUGGGGGACCCAGGAACUCGGGUCUCGACCGUGAGUGGUCGGAACCCUGGGGUGAAGUCCGCGGGAGCGGACCGGGCUAAUGACUCUCAGCCCGAACCCGACAGCUAACUCCGCAGGCGUCGGGAGACAACCA
RNAcentral lists this small RNA (192 nucleotides) under Kribbella flavida. RNAcentral's name for it is "c-di-AMP sequence". It matches the Rfam family "c-di-AMP riboswitch aptamer (ydaO/yuaA leader)". From Rfam's summary of the family: This family represents a conserved RNA structure found upstream of the ydaO and yuaA genes in Bacillus subtilis and related genes in other bacteria. The record is from RNAcentral. Lineage: Bacteria; Bacillati; Actinomycetota; Actinomycetes; Propionibacteriales; Kribbellaceae.